CCUACGGGUGGCAGCAGUGGGGAAUAUUGCACAAUGGGGGAAACCCUGAUGCAGCGACGCCGCGUGAGUGAUGAAGUAUUUCGGUAUGUAAAGCUCUAUCAGCAGGGAAGAUAAUGACGGUACCUGACUAAGAAGCUCCGGCUAAAUACGUGCCAGCAGCCGCGGUAAGACGUAGGGAGCAAGCGUUAUCCGGAUUUACUGGGUGUAAAGGGAGCGCAGACGGCAGGGCAAGUCUGAUGUGAAAGUCCGGGGCGCAACCCCGGGACUGCAUUGGAAACUGUCCGGCUAGAGUGCAGGAGAGGUAAGUGGAAUUCCUAGUGUAGCGGUGAAAUGCGUAGAUAUUAGGAGGAACACCAGUGGCGAAGGCAGCUUACUGGACUGUAACUGACGUUGAGGCUCGAAAGCGUGGGGAGCAAACAGGAUUAGAUACCCUUGUAGUC
RNAcentral lists this ribosomal RNA (440 nucleotides) under uncultured bacterium. RNAcentral describes it as "partial 16S ribosomal RNA". It matches the Rfam family "Bacterial small subunit ribosomal RNA", at positions 338 to 795 of the family's 1533-position model. The record is from RNAcentral.